UAUUUUGGCCAGGAGCUGAAGUUGGUUGUUUAGUAGUAGUAGUUUGAGUAGUGACCGAAGUAGUAGUCUGGUGUGUGGGUGCAAGAGUAGUUGGGGAAGAAUUAGGUGUGGUAAUUGGGGCAGCUGUGGUCUCUUGUGGAGCUGGGGAAGACGGUGGAGCUGGUGUAGUUGCAGAAGGUGUGGGUGGGGCAGCUGUGGUCUCUGGUGGAGCUGAGGAAGAUGGUGGAGCUGGUGUAGUUGCAGGAGGUGUGGGUGGGGCAGCUGUGGUCUCUGGUGGAGCUGAGGAAGAUGGUGGAGCUGGUGUAGUUGCAGAAGGUGUGGGUGGGGCAGCUGUGGUGUCUUGUGGAGCUGGGGAAUUCACUGGUGCUAAUGUAGCUACAGAAGAGCUUGUGUUAACAUUUUCUCUUGAAGAUAUGGUGGUGGCAUUCUGGGGAAGAAAAGUCACAUUUGGAAGGGUAGUAAUUUUGGUGGCUGGUGGGAUUCUCCCUGGACCAUAGGGUGGAGGAGGAGGUGGUGGAACAAAUCCUGGGCCAAAAGGUUGAGGAGGAGCCAGCGGUCCAGGUGGAUAGGGUCUUGGUUGGGAAGGUGGCUGUGGAUAACCUGGGCC
RNAcentral lists this long non-coding RNA (607 nucleotides) under Homo sapiens (human). Its description in RNAcentral is "HSALNT0320124". The record is from RNAcentral. Lineage: Eukaryota; Metazoa; Chordata; Mammalia; Primates; Hominidae.